Molecule: ribosomal RNA, 497 nt
Filed under: uncultured bacterium
Lineage: Bacteria
Description: partial 16S ribosomal RNA
Rfam family: Bacterial small subunit ribosomal RNA
Source: RNAcentral
GACGAACGCUGGCGGCGUGCCUAAUACAUGCAAGUUGAGCGAUGAAGCUUGGUGCUUGCACCAAUUUGAAGAGCAGCGAACGGGUGAGUAACGCGUGGGGAAUCUGCCUUUGAGCGGGGGACAACAUUUGGAAACGAAUGCUAAUACCGCAUAACAACUUUAAACAUAAGUUUUAAGUUUGAAAGAUGCAAUUGCAUCACUCAAAGAUGAUCCCGCGUUGUAUUAGCUAGUUGGUGAGGUAAAGGCUCACCAAGGCGAUGAUACAUAGCCGACCUGAGAGGGUGAUCGGCCACAUUGGGACUGAGACACGGCCCAAACUUCUACGGGAGGCAGCAGUAGGGAAUCUUCGGCAAUGGACGAAAGUCUGACCGAGCAACGCCGCGUGAGUGAAGAAGGUUUUCGGAUCGUAAAACUCUGUUGGUAGAGAAGAACGUUGGUGAGAGUGGAAAGCUCAUCAAGUGACGGUAACUACCCAGAAAGGGACGGCUAACUACGUG